This 240-nucleotide unclassified non-coding RNA is filed under the name soil metagenome. Its description in RNAcentral is "partial contains 5.8S ribosomal RNA, internal transcribed spacer 2, and large subunit ribosomal RNA". The record is from RNAcentral.
AACUGAUACUACCUGCGGGAACCUGCGGAAGGAUCAUUACCGAGUUUACAACUCCCAAACCCAAUGUGAACCAUACCAAACUGUUGCCUCGGCGGGGUCACGCCCCGGGUGCGUCGCAGCCCCGGAACCAGGCGCCCGCCGGAGGGACCAACCAAACUCUUUCUGUAGUCCCCUCGCGGACGUUAUUUCUUACAGCUCUGAGCAAAAAUUCAAAAUGAAUCAAAACUUUUAGCAACGGAU